Molecule: long non-coding RNA, 345 nt
Filed under: Nicotiana benthamiana
Lineage: Eukaryota; Viridiplantae; Streptophyta; Magnoliopsida; Solanales; Solanaceae
Description: long non-coding RNA (NBEN_LNC028740)
Source: RNAcentral
UAAUUCGUAUAUAGGGUCACGUGCUCACAAAUCAGUCUUCAUAUUUUCUGAAACUCGUUUCUUUCUGUUAAACUGGUAACUCUUUUUCUAAUAUUAGUUUGCAUCCUUUUCCUGAAAUCAGUAAAUCCCUGCCUAGUUUUAUUCAACCCACAGACAAAAGGUUGGCUAAUUAAUCAUUGGGUCAUUCUUAGACAAAUGCAUCCGAGCGGACCUAAUGCGGAUUUCUUGUCUAAAAAUAUGUGUUGAACCAGUCUAUUCAUCGCUUUAAUUUAAUCCAGACCAAAUCAGUACGUGAAUGAAAUGUAAACUAUAUGCCUUUAUUUGAUUUAAGGAGAUCCGCUUGAG